This 497-nucleotide ribosomal RNA is filed under the name uncultured bacterium. RNAcentral's name for it is "partial 16S ribosomal RNA". It matches the Rfam family "Bacterial small subunit ribosomal RNA", at positions 28 to 507 of the family's 1533-position model. The record is from RNAcentral.
GAUGAACGCUGGCGGCGUGCCUAAUACAUGCAAGUCGAGCGAACAGAUGAGGAGCUUGCUCCUCUGACGUUAGCGGCGGACGGGUGAGUAACACGUGGAUAACCUACCUAUAAGACUGGGAUAACUUCGGGAAACCGGAGCUAAUACCGGAUAAUAUAUUGAACCGCAUGGUUCAAUAGUGAAAGACGGUUUUGCUGUCACUUAUAGAUGGAUCCGCGCUGCAUUAGCUAGUUGGUAAGGUAACGGCUUACCAAGGCAACGAUGCGUAGCCGACCUGAGAGGGUGAUCGGCCACACUGGAACUGAGACACGGUCCAGACUCCUACGGGAGGCAGCAGUAGGGAAUCUUCCGCAAUGGGCGAAAGCCUGACGGAGCAACGCCGCGUGAGUGAUGAAGGUCUUCGGAUCGUAAAACUCUGUUAUUAGGGAAGAACAAAUGUGUAAGUAACUAUGCACAUCUUGACGGUACCUAAUCAGAAAGCCACGGCUAACUACGUG